UGUUGGCUAGCAACAAAAUUACGUUAGUCUAGCAGGGUUAGUUGCUUUCCGUUUUCUUGUAUUAUGCACCGCCGGUGGAGUGGAAAAUAAAUGUUGUAACAUGAUUUCUGUUUAGCUUUUUCAUACAUUUCGUUGAGUAAACGUUGAAGAGAAAAGGCUCAAUCACCACCAGUUGUUACUUAACCUAAAUCUAUUAAAACGGGUCAUCAAACAGUUUUUUAAGAGGUCAACUAGUAAAUCCCCGAUAAAGUGCACCCUGAAGUCCCCGUUUCGUAGCCAUCAUGAUGAGCGACAAGCAAACAAGUGCUUUGUGUGAGUAAAUAUAGCUGGAAGACCCGAAAAUGCAGACAGCAAACAUUGGGAAGACCCAAUGGCAAACAUAUGCGCGUAUACACAGGAAGACUUGGGCCGGACAAGAACCUAGAAAUGUCAAUAAGCGAACACGAGGUAAAAUCGUCAGCAACGAAAGCUUUGAAC
This is a long non-coding RNA of Drosophila sechellia, 477 nucleotides long. RefSeq lists it as uncharacterized. NCBI's taxonomy places the organism in Eukaryota, Metazoa, Arthropoda, Insecta, Diptera, Drosophilidae. The record is from RefSeq and is a predicted model, not a curated record. The transcript is spliced from 3 exons.